This 490-nucleotide ribosomal RNA is filed under the name uncultured Variovorax sp. RNAcentral describes it as "bacterial SSU rRNA". It matches the Rfam family "Bacterial small subunit ribosomal RNA", at positions 900 to 1390 of the family's 1533-position model. The record is from RNAcentral. Lineage: Bacteria; Pseudomonadati; Pseudomonadota; Betaproteobacteria; Burkholderiales; Comamonadaceae.
CUUAAAGGAAUUGACGGGGACCCGCACAAGCGGUGGAUGAUGUGGUUUAAUUCGAUGCAACGCGAAAAACCUUACCCACCUUUGACAUGUACGGAAUUCGCCAGAGAUGGCUUAGUGCUCGAAAGAGAACCGUAACACAGGUGCUGCAUGGCUGUCGUCAGCUCGUGUCGUGAGAUGUUGGGUUAAGUCCCGCAACGAGCGCAACCCUUGUCAUUAGUUGCUACAUUCAGUUGGGCACUCUAAUGAGACUGCCGGUGACAAACCGGAGGAAGGUGGGGAUGACGUCAAGUCCUCAUGGCCCUUAUAGGUGGGGCUACACACGUCAUACAAUGGCUGGUACAAAGGGUUGCCAACCCGCGAGGGGGAGCUAAUCCCAUAAAACCAGUCGUAGUCCGGAUCGCAGUCUGCAACUCGACUGCGUGAAGUCGGAAUCGCUAGUAAUCGUGGAUCAGAAUGUCACGGUGAAUACGUUCCCGGGUCUUGUACACAC